GCCGCAGACUUCUCCACUUCACGUACGUCACGAUAAAGUGUGACUUGGGAGGACAGUCCGGUUCUGAAAGGUAACUGGUCUGAUUUGGGGGAGAUAUGCUUGGUGUCAGCAAUCUGCAGAUAUGGACACGGUUCCAGCGUUCUCCUUAAGCCAUGAUGAGUUGCUUUAUUUAUAGCUGCAUGGUCAGUGAGUUCUUCAUGGCCUCCAGUUUUAACUUGCUUCGUCAGCAGUCAUAAACUCCACUUUCUCUCCCGGAUGUUUGGAAGGACACCGUCCAUGGAGUUAGCUUCAGGUUUCUGUGACUCUUUCUGUACCAUGGUGCCCCCGUGGAAGGCUCCAAGGUCAAGAGGUGAUAACAUUCUCCUAGGUGAGCUUUGAGAUCUACCACCCUGCAGACUUCAGAUCAGCACAAACAGACUCUGUGUUAGAUUAGGGAAGGAAUGAAGCUCUCCAGGACCGAUGUGGGGGCCCCUGCUCUGAAGAUCCGAGGUACCAUGUCUGGAGGAGGUAGCAUGCAUUAAAAUGAAUCUUCUCUUGGAUAUAUUCUUCCAUAUAUUCUAAAAUGGCUAUUCUGUUUGUCACUCAAGAUAUUUGGGACCUGGCUAAAAGAGGUUCUGUAUUUCAAUAUAUAGAAAAACGUUUAUUAAAGGAAUAUUAAAGGAAUUUGUAUUACAGGAAAUAUGGUGUAUAUAUGUUAUCUAUUCAACUCAUUUUGAAACUCCACGCAGUUCAUUGGUUGUGUGCUGCUUAAAUGGAGGGUUUUAUGAGGGCAGAAGUUAUA
Non-coding RNA from Electrophorus electricus (electric eel), 781 nucleotides. Lineage: Eukaryota; Metazoa; Chordata; Actinopteri; Gymnotiformes; Gymnotidae. The record is from RefSeq and is a predicted model, not a curated record.